This is a long non-coding RNA of Oncorhynchus tshawytscha (Chinook salmon), 611 nucleotides long. The record is from Ensembl. Lineage: Eukaryota; Metazoa; Chordata; Actinopteri; Salmoniformes; Salmonidae.
UCUUGUUUCUGGAUGGUUCCACAGGUAAAUAUCAUGUUUCUGGAUGGUUCCAUAGGUAAAUAUCAUUUUUCUGGAUGGUUCCACAGGUAAAUAUCAUGUUUCUGGAUGGUUCCACAGGUAAAUAUCUUGUUUCUGGAUGGUUCCAGAGGGGUAAAUAUCAUUUUUCUGGAUGGUUCCAGAGGGGUAAAUGCUAUUUUUCUGGAUGGUUCAUGAGGACUUGGAGGUAUACAAGGAAGGGCACUACUGAUCACUAGAAAUCACAACUCAUUUCAGCAGUCUUUAGCCAGAAUUAGAAUGACUUGUAUGGACUUUGAACCACUGACCGUGGCAAUUUGACUGGUAAACCAAUCAUAGUACUAAUUAUAAUUAUAUGGCCAGGGUCUGGCUGAGGACCACCUGUGGUUUCCACCCUCCAUUCAGGAACUGCUGCCCUAUUUUGUGCUAAACACUAUAACCAAAUCCCAAAAUGCCACCCUAUUCCCUAUAUAGUGCACUACUUUAGACCAGAGUCCUAUGGCACCCUAUUCCCUAUAUAUAGUGCACUACUAUAGACCAGGGCCCUAUGGCACCCUAUUCCCUAUUAAUAGUGCACUACUUUAGACCAGAAACAU